CGAGUGGACCGGAUGAUCGCUGCCGACGGGUUGCCGUUGGGAGAGGAAAGUCCGAACUCCGCAGGGCAGUGUGCUGGGUAACUCCCAGGCCCGGUGACGGGACGGAAAGUGCAGCAGAGAGUAGACCGCCGGAUGCCACCACUGGUCGUGCCACCACGACCAGAGUUUGGAGUGUCCGGUAAGGGUGAAACGGUGCGGUAAGAGCGCACCAGCGUCGGCGGCAACGCCGGCGGCUUGGUAAACCCCACACGGAGCAAGACCGAAUAGGGAAGCGUUUGAGAUCGGCCCGAUCGAGGCUUCCGGGUAGGUUGCUGGAGGGCGGGAGUGAUCCCGCUCCUAGAUGAAUGAUCGUCACCUCGUUCGCGAGGAACAGGAUUCGGCUUACGGGAGACUCGAAGG
This 399-nucleotide RNase P RNA is filed under the name Acidobacteriota bacterium. Its description in RNAcentral is "RNase P RNA component class A". It matches the Rfam family "Bacterial RNase P class A". Rfam says of the family: Ribonuclease P (RNase P) is a ubiquitous endoribonuclease, found in archaea, bacteria and eukarya as well as chloroplasts and mitochondria. Its best characterised activity is the generation of mature 5'-ends of tRNAs by cleaving the 5'-leader elements of precursor-tRNAs. Cellular RNase Ps are ribonucleoproteins. Lineage: Bacteria; Pseudomonadati; Acidobacteriota. The record is from RNAcentral.